CCCUUAGAUGUUCUGGGCUGCACGCGCGCUACACUGAUGCGCUCAACGAGUUUUAACCUUGCCUGGAAAGGUUGGGUAAUCUUUUUAAAACGCAUCGUGAUGGGGAUAGAUUAUUGCAAUUAUUAAUCUUCAACGAGGAAUUCCUAGUAAGCGCGAGUCAUCAGCUCGUGCUGAUUACGUCCCUGCCCUUUGUACACACCGCCCGUCGCUCCUACCGAUUUAGUGAUCCGGUGAAUAAUUCGGACUGCGGCAUUGACCGGUUCCCGAUCGUUGCUGCGGAAAGUUUAGUGAACCUUAUCACUUAGAGGAAGGAGAAGUCGUAACA
This 325-nucleotide ribosomal RNA is filed under the name uncultured eukaryote. RNAcentral's name for it is "partial 18S ribosomal RNA". It matches the Rfam family "Eukaryotic small subunit ribosomal RNA", at positions 1470 to 1796 of the family's 1831-position model. The record is from RNAcentral.